RNAcentral lists this long non-coding RNA (289 nucleotides) under Musa acuminata (dwarf banana). RNAcentral describes it as "long non-coding RNA (MACU_LNC007187)". Lineage: Eukaryota; Viridiplantae; Streptophyta; Magnoliopsida; Zingiberales; Musaceae. The record is from RNAcentral.
AAAGACGGAAAAGGAAUGACUUACAAAGAUGACUAACUAAAAGAAGAGACAUCAUAAGAACUUACUAUGAUCCCCGAGUCCAAUUGGAUACAAAAAGAAGGUUGUUUUGACCGACAACGGAAGAACUGCAUCAAAUAUUUCAAGAGACAACAACUCAAAAGUUAGAUAGUCAUGCCUAAAUCCUCAUAAAAAUGAAAAAAAAAAUAGAGUAAUUGACAUCAUAAGACGGCGCCGCAAUACAUACCAUCACAGCCCAGAAAAUUCAGAUAGUAAUACCGACACCGGGAAG